This 440-nucleotide ribosomal RNA is filed under the name uncultured bacterium. RNAcentral describes it as "partial 16S ribosomal RNA". It matches the Rfam family "Bacterial small subunit ribosomal RNA", at positions 338 to 795 of the family's 1533-position model. The record is from RNAcentral.
CCUACGGGUGGCAGCAGUGAGGGAUAUUGGUCAAUGGGGGAAACCCUGAACCAGCAACGCCGCGUGAGGGAAGACGGUUUUCGGAGUGUAAACCUCUGUCCUCGGGGAAGAGAAUGACGGUAGCAGAGGAGGAAGCUCCGGCUAACUACGGGCCAGCAGCCGCGGUAAGACGUAGGGAGCAAGCGUUGUCCGGAUUUACUGGGUGUAAAGGGGGCGUCGGCGGGCUUGCAAGUCAGAAGUGAAAUCUAGGGGCUUAACCCAUCAACUGCUUUUGAAACUGUAAGUCUUGAGUGAAGUAGAGGUCGGCGCAAUUCCCGGUGUAGCGGUGACAUGCUUCGAGAUUGGGAGGAACACCAGUGGCGAAGGCGGCCUACUGGGCUUUACCUGCCGCUGAGGCACGCCAGCGUGGGUAGCACACCGGCUUAGAUACCCUUGUAGUC